UACAGAGGGCUCAAGCGUUGUUCGGAUUCAUUGGGCGUAAAGGGCGCGUAGGCGGCGCGGUAAGUCGGGUGUGAAAUUUCGAGGCUUAACUUCGAAACUGCAUUCGAUACUGCCGUGCUAGAGGACUGGAGAGGAGACUGGAAUUUACGGUGUAGCGGUGAAAUGCGUAGAUAUCGUAAGGAAGACCAGUGGCGAAGGCGGGUCUCUGGACAGUUCCUGACGCUGAGGCACGAAGGCCAGGGGAGCAAACGGG
This 253-nucleotide ribosomal RNA is filed under the name uncultured bacterium. RNAcentral's name for it is "partial 16S ribosomal RNA". It matches the Rfam family "Bacterial small subunit ribosomal RNA", at positions 524 to 776 of the family's 1533-position model. The record is from RNAcentral.